This 377-nucleotide ribosomal RNA is filed under the name uncultured organism. RNAcentral describes it as "bacterial SSU rRNA". It matches the Rfam family "Archaeal small subunit ribosomal RNA", at positions 476 to 851 of the family's 1478-position model. The record is from RNAcentral.
CCAGCACCCCGAGUGGUCGGGACGAUUAUUGGGCCUAAAGCAUCCGUAGCCGGUCCUGCAAGUCUUCCGUUAAAUCCAGCUGCUCAACAGAUGGGCUGCGGAGGAUACUACAGGGCUAGGAGGCGGGAGAGGCAAGCGGUACUUUAUGGGUAGGGGUAAAAUCCGUUGAUCCAUAGAAGACCACCAGUGGCGAAGGCGGCUUGCCAGAACGCGCUCGACGGUGAGGGAUGAAAGCUGGGGGGAGCAAACCGGAUUAGAUACCCGGGUAGUCCCAGCUGUAAACGAUGCAGACUCGGUGAUGGGUUGGCUUCGUGCCAACCCAGUGCCGCAGGGGAAGCCGUUAAGUCUGCCGCCUGGGGAGUACGGUCGCAAGACUG